This 490-nucleotide ribosomal RNA is filed under the name uncultured bacterium. RNAcentral's name for it is "partial 16S ribosomal RNA". It matches the Rfam family "Bacterial small subunit ribosomal RNA", at positions 30 to 507 of the family's 1533-position model. The record is from RNAcentral.
AUUGAACGCUGGCGGCAGGCCUAACACAUGCAAGUCGAACGGUAACAGGAAGAAGCUUGCUUCUUUGCUGACGAGUGGCGGACGGGUGAGUAAUGUCUGGGAAACUGCCUGAUGGAGGGGGAUAACUACUGGAAACGGUAGCUAAUACCGCAUAACGUCGCAAGACCAAAGAGGGGGACCUUCGGGCCUCUUGCCAUCGGAUGUGCCCAGAUGGGAUUAGCUAGUAGGUGGGGUAACGGCUCACCCAGGCGACGAUCCCUAGCUGGUCUGAGAGGAUGACCAGCCACACUGGAACUGAGACACGGUCCAGACUCCUACGGGAGGCAGCAGUGGGGAAUAUUGCACAAUGGGCGCAAGCCUGAUGCAGCCAUGCCGCGUGUAUGAAGAAGGCCUUCGGGUUGUAAAGUACUUUCAGCGGGGAGGAAGGGGGUAAAGUUAAUACCUUUGCUCAUUGACGUUACCCGCAGAAGAAGCACCGGCUAACUCCGUG